Long non-coding RNA from Onychostruthus taczanowskii (white-rumped snowfinch), 520 nucleotides. RefSeq lists it as uncharacterized. The record is from RefSeq and is a predicted model, not a curated record. The transcript has 3 exons. NCBI's taxonomy places the organism in Eukaryota, Metazoa, Chordata, Aves, Passeriformes, Passeridae.
GCGGCGUCCGCCUGACACACCGAAUUACUGUCUCUCCCCAAGGAGACGGGAUGCAGCCCCAAAGAGCUGGCUGGGAAGUGCCCUACCUGGCAAGAAAUUCUCCAAAUAUUAAGAACUUAAAUGAAAAUCCAACAUCUUCCAGAUGGCUUCCUCACACACAAAAAUUAAUCCACUUCCUAGGUGAAAGGCUUUGGUCUCCAAGGCUCAACUCAGAUCUAUCUGAUACAAACCUCUUGUGUGAGAUGUCGAAGCUAAAUUUACUGAGCACAACCAUCAGAUGAGCACCAGAACCAGCACAGGAGUGAGAGAGCCAGAAAGAGAAGUUCAGUGUCAAAGAGUGACACAUUCCAGUGGCUGUGUCAGUGCCUUAGCUCCUGUUGGCAACCACAGCACAACUUCCAGCACAAAGGGCCUGUACAGGUAUCAGUGACUGUCUUUGAAAAAAAAACAAACACUUUCAGUUGAUACCAUCAUCCUGCCUGUGGCACAGAAAUGCAGGCACAUAUGUAAUGUGUGUGCA